GGCGGCGUGCUUAACACAUGCAAGUCGAGCGGAAAGGCCCUUCGGGGUACUCGAGCGGCGAACGGGUGAGUAACACGUGAGCAACCUGCCCUAGGCUUUGGGAUAACCCCGGGAAACCGGGGCUAAUACCGAAUAUGACUUCUGGUCGCAUGACUGGUGGUGGAAAGUUUUUCGGCCUGGGAUGGGCUCGCGGCCUAUCAGCUUGUUGGUGGGGUGAUGGCCUACCAAGGCGACGACGGGUAGCCGGCCUGAGAGGGCGACCGGCCACACUGGGACUGAGACACGGCCCAGACUCCUACGGGAGGCAGCAGUGGGGAAUAUUGCGCAAUGGGCGGAAGCCUGACGCAGCGACGCCGCGUGAGGGAUGACGGCCUUCGGGUUGUAAACCUCUUUCAGCAGGGACGAAGCGUAAGUGACGGUACCUGCAGAAGAAGCGCCGGCCAACUACGUGCCAGCAGCCGCGGUAAGACGUAGGGCGCGAGCGUUGUCCGGAUUUAUUGGGCGUAAAGAGCUCGUAGGCGGCUUGUCGCGUCGACUGUGAAAACCCGCAGCUCAACUGCGGGCCUGCAGUCGAUACGGGCAGGCUAGAGUUCGGUAGGGGAGACUGGAAUUCCUGGUGUAGCGGUGAAAUGCGCAGAUAUCAGGAGGAACACCGGUGGCGAAGGCGGGUCUCUGGGCCGAUACUGACGCUGAGGAGCGAAAGCGUGGGGAGCGAACAGGAUUAGAUACCCUGGUAGUCCACGCUGUAAACGUUGGGCGCUAGGUGUGGGGGGCCUCUCCGGUUCCCUGUGCCGCAGCUAACGCAUUAAGCGCCCCGCCUGGGGAGUACGGCCGC
RNAcentral lists this ribosomal RNA (835 nucleotides) under Micromonospora sp. IM-1105. Its description in RNAcentral is "bacterial SSU rRNA". It matches the Rfam family "Bacterial small subunit ribosomal RNA", at positions 38 to 889 of the family's 1533-position model. Lineage: Bacteria; Bacillati; Actinomycetota; Actinomycetes; Micromonosporales; Micromonosporaceae. The record is from RNAcentral.